GAUCCAGCGGCGGACGGGUGAGUAAUGCCUAGGAAUCUGCCUGGUAGUGGGGGACAACGUUUCGAAAGGAACGCUAAUACCGCAUACGUCCUACGGGAGAAAGCAGGGGACCUUCGGGCCUUGCGCUAUCAGAUGAGCCUAGGUCGGAUUAGCUAGUAGGUGAGGUAAUGGCUCACCUAGGCGACGAUCCGUAACUGGUCUGAGAGGAUGAUCAGUCACACUGGAACUGAGACACGGUCCAGACUCCUACGGGAGGCAGCAGUGGGGAAUAUUGGACAAUGGGCGAAAGCCUGAUCCAGCCAUGCCGCGUGUGUGAAGAAGGUCUUCGGAUUGUAAAGCACUUUAA
Molecule: ribosomal RNA, 346 nt
Filed under: Pseudomonas sp. P8
Lineage: Bacteria; Pseudomonadati; Pseudomonadota; Gammaproteobacteria; Pseudomonadales; Pseudomonadaceae
Description: bacterial SSU rRNA
Rfam family: Bacterial small subunit ribosomal RNA
Source: RNAcentral